UGGCUCAGUGGUUAAGAGCACUUGACUGCUCUUCCAGAGGUCCUGAGUUCAAAUCCCAG
Molecule: transfer RNA, 59 nt
Filed under: Rattus norvegicus (Norway rat)
Lineage: Eukaryota; Metazoa; Chordata; Mammalia; Rodentia; Muridae
Rfam family: tRNA
About the family: Transfer RNA (tRNA) molecules are approximately 80 nucleotides in length. Their secondary structure includes four short double-helical elements and three loops (D, anti-codon, and T loops).
Source: Rfam by way of RNAcentral